This 195-nucleotide unclassified non-coding RNA is filed under the name fungal sp. Its description in RNAcentral is "partial internal transcribed spacer region". The stretch from base 1 to 46 matches the Rfam family "Eukaryotic small subunit ribosomal RNA", at positions 1786 to 1831 of the family's 1831-position model. The record is from RNAcentral. Lineage: Eukaryota; Fungi.
AAGUCGUAACAAGGUUUCCGUAGGUGAACCUGCGGAAGGAUCAUUAUUUGGUCUUUUCCUUUUGAUUGAGCGCAAGCUCUUUUGAAAGUUAAACUCUGUGAACUGUAUUGUACUAUUGUAAUUUAUUGUUAUUUUUGAAUUCUUCAUGAAUUUAUAAAUUAAAGACAACUUUUAGCAAUGGAUCUCUUGGCUCUU